GGAAAGGAGGCUCAGGGACCUUCCCGCUCUCCACAGCUCCCGGAGAGGGGCUGCGGCCGGGCGGCGGCGGCUCUCUUCUCCGAGAUAACCAUCAACAAUACGGGGAAAUGGAGUCAAGAUGCACCAGGGGAGGUUUAACUUUGGAUACUUGGAAAAAUUUCUUCACUGUCUGGCUGCCCAGGGCAGUGUUUGGGUCACCACCGCUGAAGGUCUUUAAAAGACACGUGGAUGCGGCACUUGGGGACACGGUUUAGUGACGGACAUGGCUGUGCUGGAUGAACGACUGGACUCGGUGGUCUCACAGGUCCUUUGCCAGGCCUGAAGACCCCGUGAUUCCAUGGAAUGCCCCGCUCCCUGGAAAUUCGUUCUGUGGGCGCCGAAAAUACGGCGAAGAGCAACGGCGACAUCCAGCGGCGGCACGGGGCGCCUCGCAGGCCGGGCCCGCCGCGGGAGCGCCGCGCCGAGCGGCCAUCCAGGGAGUUCUCUAAAGGAUCAUGAAGGCGGGACAAAACAGCCAGGAUCAAGUGACAACUCAAGGACUGGUGUCAAAGAAAACAGACCAUGAACAGAUUUACUGACUUAACUGGACUAGCCACAAGGCUGGAAUUAUGUAUGUGCUUCAGUAUCUUGCCAGAUGAGUAAAAGAAGUGUUACUAUCCUGAAGAAUUUAACACUGUACUAAAAAUUCAACAGAAGGGAGUAAUUUUAACUACAACACGCUUGCAUGCAUGUGCCUUUACCUGCCAAUGGAGUUUUGCCAAAAAAUCCAGUGUCCUGCAUUGGUUUGGGUGUUUUGAAUCCCUCUACUAAAAAGAAAAAACAUGUUCAGGCUAAUUUUUCUAUUUUUUCUAAAAUAAAUAGCUGUAAUUGCUGAAGUCUUACA
Molecule: long non-coding RNA, 883 nt
Filed under: Chloebia gouldiae (Gouldian finch)
Lineage: Eukaryota; Metazoa; Chordata; Aves; Passeriformes; Passeridae
Description: Erythrura gouldiae (Gouldian finch) lncRNA (ENSEGOG00005004516.1)
Source: RNAcentral